Molecule: ribosomal RNA, 253 nt
Filed under: uncultured bacterium
Lineage: Bacteria
Description: partial 16S ribosomal RNA
Rfam family: Bacterial small subunit ribosomal RNA
Source: RNAcentral
UACGUAGGGGGCAAGCGUUAUCCGGAAUUACUGGGUGUAAAGGGAGCGUAGACGGUAAUGUAAGUCUGGAGUGAAAGGCGGGGGCCCAACCCCCGGACUGCUCUGGAAACUAUGUUACUAGAGUGCAGGAGAGGUAAGCGGAAUUCCUAGUGUAGCGGUGAAAUGCGUAGAUAUUAGGAGGGACACCAGUGGCGAAGGCGGCUUACUGGAUUGUAACUGACGUUGAGGCUCGAAAGCGUGGGGAGCAAACAGG